Molecule: long non-coding RNA, 1411 nt
Organism: Gasterosteus aculeatus aculeatus (three-spined stickleback)
Lineage: Eukaryota; Metazoa; Chordata; Actinopteri; Perciformes; Gasterosteidae
Source: Ensembl
CUGAAAUGGGCUUUGUUGUUUUUGUUUCAAACUCUGAAACUCAUCUUCUGCUUUGGUGCACUUUCAGCCAGGUUUUCCUCUCUGUUUGGAGACGAAUGAUGGCAAGCUGGAUUACCAUUGCUGGGAGCCUACCAUCUGUGUAGCAUCCACUGAAUAGCCACUUCCUACUGGUCUGGUAGGAAGGUUGUCCACAGCCUGCCCCUGCACACUCCUCCAUAGACUAGUGCUUCAAUCCCACGUACACAUCCUUUCACUUGAUGAACAAUAACCUACGGACUACUCAAUACAAACAUUCCAUAAAAUCCUUGUGGGUUGUCUCGCUGGUCUUGUAUACCAUCCAUUGCAGGGGCGGUUCUUUUUCUCUUUUUGUUUUUGUGUGGUAUUUGCUGUAAUUUAAAUUAGUAUAGCAUACUUGAACAACCACUACAAAGUGUGCUUAAAUAUAACCGGUUCAACUGCAGUCUGUAAAUAUUUUGGGAUUCUUUUAUUUUUCUUCUUUCAUUAUUUCUUGUUUUAAAUAUUUUGUUUAAUUAUUUUGCAAUACAUGGUACCUGCACCAAAUUUAAACUUAUGUUUCUGUGUUGUUACUGACCACCAGCUCCUGUAGCAGAAUUUGGACUUCUGUGAUUUAUACUAGCCUAUACUGGUAUUUCUAUAGCCUUCUAUUAAACGUAUUAUAGCUAAUAUUAAGGACAUAUUAAUAUCAGUUAACCAUCUCGAAGACCCGUUACACGACAUCCUGAAAAAUUCCUGAAACCCUGACAUUGUCACAGAAAAAGCUCCCCAAAAAAUGAAAAAACUCUUCCAUGGGGAGAAAAAAGGAAAAAGAAGAAACCUUAGGAACAACGGCAGAGGAGGGAUCAUGAGGGAUGUCACGGUUUGACUUUAUUUCCUGUUUUAGCUUCACUUCGAGCUUUGUCAUACCCUGUGAUUGUCUGCCUUGUCCCUGAUUGUUUCCACCUGUGUCCAAUCACCUGCACCUUCCCAAUGUAUUUAAGCAAUGUGUGUCUCUUGUCGCGUCAUUGAAUGUCGUUAGUGAAUGUUCUACCCUGAAUAUUGUUCCCGUGUUUUGUAAGUUCCUGGUCCCCUUCCUCUCUGCGUCUUGCCCCCAGGCAUUUGGAUUUUGAUAUUUUGAUUAAUAAAGUUGUUUUCGUUGCACUUGAGCCCUGCUUCUGGCAACCCCACCCCACUUUGUGACGGCAUUGUGACAGGAUCGUGACAGGAUCCCUCUUUCGGGAUGGACAACCCGCAAUGGAUGUCAUGUGUACACAAUGAAGACGUAAAAGGUGUACAGUACGUUCAAUCCAUACAACAAAAAUCCUUUACAAAUUGAGAGUAGUAAGUGAGUAAGACUGGACCACUGCAGGAACAACCACCAUCAGAUAUAACCACCAGCAACAGAAACCUGCUA